UACGGAAGGUCCAGGCGUUAUCCGGAUUUAUUGGGUUUAAAGGGAGCGUAGGCUGGAGAUUAAGUGUGUUGUGAAAUGUAGACGCUCAACGUCUGAAUUGCAGCGCAUACUGGUUUCCUUGGGUACGCACAGCGUUGGCGGAAUUCGUCGUGUAGCGGUGAAAUGCUUAGAUAUGACGAAGAACUCCGAUUGCGAAGGCAGCUGACGGGAGCGCAACUGACGCUUAAGCUCGAAGGUACGGGUAUCAAACAGGAUUAGAUACCCUGGUAGUCAAGGGCG
This 279-nucleotide ribosomal RNA is filed under the name uncultured Bacteroidales bacterium. RNAcentral's name for it is "partial 16S ribosomal RNA". It matches the Rfam family "Bacterial small subunit ribosomal RNA", at positions 524 to 801 of the family's 1533-position model. Lineage: Bacteria; Pseudomonadati; Bacteroidota; Bacteroidia; Bacteroidales. The record is from RNAcentral.